Long non-coding RNA from Camellia sinensis, 731 nucleotides. RefSeq lists it as uncharacterized. The record is from RefSeq and is a predicted model, not a curated record. NCBI's taxonomy places the organism in Eukaryota, Viridiplantae, Streptophyta, Magnoliopsida, Ericales, Theaceae.
UCUCUCCUCUCUAUGUUUUCUUUCUAUCUCUAUUUGAAGCCAAAAACCAUUCAAACAACAGCUCUCAUCCUAGAUUCCUCUCAGAAGAUCUCUCUUGUUCUAGAUCACACUCACCUCUGCUCAGCAGAUCACUCUCACCCCAAAUCUCUAUCAUCUCUGUCAUCCCUCUCACUUCUGAUCGCUCUUUGAUUGACGAUGAAGGAGGACGAAUGAGGAUGAACGACGGCGAACGACACGAAGUCUGAGGUAAAUCAACGAGAAGACACAGAAUCUAAGAGUCAUAAGGAACACUGUAAUUACUUCAAAUUCGUAGAUGAGGUUGAUGACGACACUAGCUCCGCAAUUUGUUCCUAUGUUGGACCACGGAAAGCUAUAAGAACAGAAGAAUUAAACGAUCUAAGGACAAGGCUUUGUAAGAUAGACAAUGAAAUUCAUGAGCAUGGUAGAAGGCUUUAAAGAAUGGAGAAGAACUUCAAGGCAAUGAUUUAUGUCAUUGUGUUUUGUUUGUUUUUGCACUUUAUCAUAUAAAUGACUAAGUUAGGUUUUGGGAAAUUUCAUGAAUACCUGCCCGAUACAUUUUGUGUUGUCUAUGUGGAUGGGUUUGGAUUGAAUGGAUUUCCAUAGGCUACUAAUGAAUGUGAGCUUUCCAGGUUUUAUCAUUCAAUUUUUUGAUUGAAUUGAUUUUGUCCAUUACUAUACCUUGGCAAUGUCAUUUCAAUUUAUGUGCCCCA